RNAcentral lists this ribosomal RNA (253 nucleotides) under uncultured bacterium. RNAcentral's name for it is "partial 16S ribosomal RNA". It matches the Rfam family "Bacterial small subunit ribosomal RNA", at positions 524 to 776 of the family's 1533-position model. The record is from RNAcentral.
UACGAAGGGGGCUAGCGUUGCUCGGAAUCACUGGGCGUAAAGGGUGCGUAGGCGGGUUUUUAAGUCAGGGGUGAAAUCCCGGGGCUCAACCUCGGAACUGCCUUUGAUACUGCAAAUCUCGAGUCCGGAAGAGGUGAGUGGAAUUCCUAGUGUAGAGGUGAAAUUCGUAGAUAUUAGGAAGAACACCAGUGGCGAAGGCGGCUCACUGGUCCGGUACUGACGCUGAGGUGCGAAAGCGUGGGGAGCAAACAGG